GCGGUAAUACGAAGGGUGCAAGCGUUACUCGGAAUUACUGGGCGUAAAGCGUGCGUAGGUGGUUGUUUAAGUCUGUUGUGAAAGCCCUGGGCUCAACCUGGGAAUUGCAGUGGAUACUGGGCGACUAGAGUGUGGUAGAGGGUAGUGGAAUUCCUGGUGUAGCAGUGAAAUGCGUAGAGAUCAGGAGGAACAUCCAUGGCGAAGGCAGCUACCUGGACCAACACUGACACUGAGGCACGAAAGCGUGGGGAGCAAACAGGAU
RNAcentral lists this ribosomal RNA (262 nucleotides) under Stenotrophomonas bentonitica. Its description in RNAcentral is "partial 16S ribosomal RNA". It matches the Rfam family "Bacterial small subunit ribosomal RNA", at positions 517 to 778 of the family's 1533-position model. Lineage: Bacteria; Pseudomonadati; Pseudomonadota; Gammaproteobacteria; Lysobacterales; Lysobacteraceae. The record is from RNAcentral.